Molecule: ribosomal RNA, 553 nt
Filed under: uncultured bacterium
Lineage: Bacteria
Description: partial 16S ribosomal RNA
Rfam family: Bacterial small subunit ribosomal RNA
Source: RNAcentral
UAGGGAAUCUUCCACAAUGGACGCAAGUCUGAUGGAGCAACGCCGCGUGAGUGAAGAAGGUUUUCGGAUCGUAAAGCUCUGUUGUUGGUGAAGAAGGAUAGAGGCAGUAACUGGUCUUUAUUUGACGGUAAUCAACCAGAAAGUCACGGCUAACUACGUGCCAGCAGCCGCGGUAAUACGUAGGUGGCAAGCGUUGUCCGGAUUUAUUGGGCGUAAAGCGAGCGCAGGCGGAAUGAUAAGUCUGAUGUGAAAGCCCACGGCUCAACCGUGGAACUGCAUCGGAAACUGUCAUUCUUGAGUGCAGAAGAGGAGAGUGGAACUCCAUGUGUAGCGGUGGAAUGCGUAGAUAUAUGGAAGAACACCAGUGGCGAAGGCGGCUCUCUGGUCUGCAACUGACGCUGAGGCUCGAAAGCAUGGGUAGCGAACAGGAUUAGAUACCCUGGUAGUCCAUGCCGUAAACGAUGAGCGCUAGGUGUUGGGGACUUUCCGGUCCUCAGUGCCGCAGCAAACGCAUUAAGCGCUCCGCCUGGGGAGUACGACCGCAAGGUUGAAA